GGCUAGAUAACAUAAUGGUAAUGUAAAGGACUGCAAAUCCUUUAAUGACGGUUCAAGUCCGUCUCUAGCUU
This 71-nucleotide transfer RNA is filed under the name Phytophthora capsici. Its description in RNAcentral is "tRNA-Cys". It matches the Rfam family "tRNA". Rfam says of the family: Transfer RNA (tRNA) molecules are approximately 80 nucleotides in length. Their secondary structure includes four short double-helical elements and three loops (D, anti-codon, and T loops). RNAcentral also lists the same sequence under 2 other names. Lineage: Eukaryota; Oomycota; Peronosporomycetes; Peronosporales; Peronosporaceae. The record is from RNAcentral.